UGUGUGUGUGUGUGUGUGUGUGUGUGUGUGUGUGUGUGUGUGUGUGUGUGUGUUAUACACACACACAAACACACACACACACACACACACACACACAGAUAUAAUAUAUAUAUAUAUAUAUAUAUAUAUAUAUAUAUAUAUAUAUAUAUAUAUAUAUAUCACAUAUAUAUCACAUAU
This 177-nucleotide small nucleolar RNA is filed under the name Penaeus monodon (black tiger shrimp). Its description in RNAcentral is "small nucleolar RNA SNORA23". It matches the Rfam family "Small nucleolar RNA SNORA23". From Rfam's summary of the family: The members of this family belong to the H/ACA class of snoRNAs which are thought to guide the sites of modification of uridines to pseudouridines. The record is from RNAcentral. Lineage: Eukaryota; Metazoa; Arthropoda; Malacostraca; Decapoda; Penaeidae.